RNAcentral lists this ribosomal RNA (253 nucleotides) under uncultured bacterium. Its description in RNAcentral is "partial 16S ribosomal RNA". It matches the Rfam family "Bacterial small subunit ribosomal RNA", at positions 524 to 776 of the family's 1533-position model. The record is from RNAcentral.
UACGUAUGGUGCAAGCGUUAUCCGGAUUUACUGGGCGUAAAGGGAGCGCAGGCGGCGCGCCAAGUCUGAUGUGAAACCCCGGGGCUCAACCCCGGGCAUGCAUUGGAAACUGGCGGGCUGGAGUGCCGGAGAGGUAAGCGGAAUUCCUAGUGUAGCGGUGAAAUGCGUAGAUAUUAGGAGGAACACCAGUGGCGAAGGCGGCUUACUGGACGGCAACUGACGCUGAGGCUCGAAAGCGUUGGGAGCAAACAGG